AUUGAACGCUGGCGGCAGGCCUAACACAUGCAAGUCGAGCGAGCGGCGGACGGGUGAGUAAUGUCUGGGAAACUGCCUGAUGGAGGGGGAUAACUACUGGAAACGGUAGCUAAUACCGCAUACCAUCAGAUUUGCCCAGAUGGGAUUAGCUAGUAGGUGGGGUAACGGCUCACCUAGGCGACGAUCCCUCGCUGGUCUUAGAGGAUGACCAGCAACACGGGAGCGUAGACACGGUCCAGACUCCUACGGGAGGCAGCAGGGGGGAAUAUUGCACAAUGGGCGCAAGCCUGAUGCAGCCAUGCCGCGUGUGGGAAGAAGGCCUUCGGGUUGUAAAGCACUUUCAGCGGGGAGGCGUUACACGCAGAAGAAGCACCGGCUAACUCCGUGCCAGCAGCCGCGGUAAUAC
This 406-nucleotide ribosomal RNA is filed under the name uncultured bacterium. RNAcentral's name for it is "partial 16S ribosomal RNA". It matches the Rfam family "Bacterial small subunit ribosomal RNA", at positions 30 to 526 of the family's 1533-position model. The record is from RNAcentral.